Molecule: ribosomal RNA, 482 nt
Filed under: uncultured Methanosaeta sp.
Lineage: Archaea; Methanobacteriati; Methanobacteriota; Methanomicrobia; Methanotrichales; Methanotrichaceae
Description: bacterial SSU rRNA
Rfam family: Archaeal small subunit ribosomal RNA
Source: RNAcentral
GUUAAAUGAAUUGACGGGGCCCGCACAAGCGGUGGAGUAUGUGGUUUAAUUGGAUUCAACGCCGGAAAUCUUACCGGGACCGACAGCAAUAUGAAGGCCAGGCUGAAGACUUUGCCGGAUUAGCUGAGAGGUGGUGCAUGGCCGUCGUCAGUUCGUACUGUGAAGCAUCCUGUUAAGUCAGGCAACGAGCGAGACCCACGCCCACAGUUGCCAGCGUACUCUCUGGAGUGACGGGUACACUGUGGGGACCGCCGCUGCUAAAGCGGAGGAAGGAAUGGGCAACGGUAGGUCAGUAUGCCCCGAAUAUCCCGGGCUACACGCGAGCUACAAUGGUUGGUACAAUGGGUAUCUACCCCGAAAGGGGACGGGAAUCUCCUAAAACCAAUCUUAGUUCGGAUUGAGGGCUGCAACUCGCCCUCAUGAAGCUGGAAUCCGUAGUAAUCGCGGAUCAGCAUGCCGCGGUGAAUACGUUCCCGGGCCUU